GGGAGAGGAAAGAGAAAAAGGAAUGUGGAGGGAGAGAAAGAAAGAGAGAGGGAGAGGAAAGAGAAAAAGGAAGAUGGAGGGAGAGAAAGAAAGAGAGAGGGAGAGGAAAGAGAAAAAGGAAGGUGGAGGGAGCGAAAGAAAGAGAGAGGGAGAGGAAAGAGAAAAAGGAAUGUGGAGGGAGAGAAAGAAAGAGAGAGGGAGAGGAAAGAGAAAAAGGAAGGUGGAGGGAGCGAAAGAAAGAGAGAGGGAGAGGAAAGAGAAAAAGGAAGGUGGAGGGAGCGAAAGAAAGAGAGGGAGAGGAAAGAGAAAAAGGUAGGAGUGAGAAACAGAGUGAAGUUUAUCAAAAGCAUGUCCAUUUCUCAUUUAGCACAUUUUCUACGCUUAUCUCCAGGCCCACUCUCCCAUCCCACUACUGCUGCAGCUCUCCCGCCUCGCGCACUGCCAUGCAGAGGUGGGCAAAAUCAAUUUUUGCAGAUACAUUCUUGCAAUUACAUCACUUACUCUGUUUAAGAUAAGAUGCAUGAAUUGGACUACUCUUGAAGCACCAGAUUGAAUUAUUCAUUUGGUUUACUCAACUCUGUCUCUCUCUUCCCCCUUCUCUCUCUCCUCCUCUCUUUCUCUCUCUCCCUCCCCCACCUCUCUGUCUCUCUUGGUCCCGGGUCCCAUGGUCCCAGGGGAUGAAAUAUGAGUGUGUUUAGCACUCUUCAAUAGAGAGCACAGGACAUGGGAGGGGUCACUGGGCCUCUAAUGCUACCCAAUAAAUAUCUGCUGCUCCUAGCCUCGUCUGUGUUGGGAGAGGGGGGAAUAAGCUCUCUCUGUCUUUCUAUCUCUCUCUCUGAGUGUAUGGCUUCAUUAGUGUAUACAGGGGGAGAAGACGAGAAAUGAAAGUAGAUA
This is a long non-coding RNA of Oncorhynchus tshawytscha (Chinook salmon), 894 nucleotides long. NCBI's taxonomy places the organism in Eukaryota, Metazoa, Chordata, Actinopteri, Salmoniformes, Salmonidae. The record is from Ensembl.